This is a long non-coding RNA of Prionailurus viverrinus (fishing cat), 1458 nucleotides long. RefSeq lists it as uncharacterized. The record is from RefSeq and is a predicted model, not a curated record. Lineage: Eukaryota; Metazoa; Chordata; Mammalia; Carnivora; Felidae. The transcript is spliced from 4 exons.
CCGGCCGGGCUCAAAUACAGGCUGGAGUCUCCGACUCUUAGUUCAGGAAGAGGGCUCGUGGGCGGUAACGAGACUUUCUCAAGGGAUUCUGUGGUAGAAUCUCUUUCUUUGAGAAAGCUGAAGCGAUCAACACCCUGAUUAACCUCUGAUAUUCACGUGGUGCUCUUGAUCUUGAGGACUGCAGCAAUAACAAAGCGGUUUGGUGUGGAGAUUACUGGUGAAGAGUUUGAGUUGUUACUUGACAGAAUCCCCCUUGAUGAAGAUGGAAAUGUCAGAUACCUCCAGUUCACGGCCACGUUUGAUUCUCGGGGAGGGUUAUCCAGUCUUUUUGAUGAGAAAUCUCUCCAGUGGAUGUCUCUGCGCUUUGUAAAGAGCAGUUUAUGAGAAGCCAGAAGAGUCUACACUCCCAGAAAGAAAGACCACAGCGGAGACCUCAGGAACAGCAGAACUUCUACGGACACAUCACGCGCUACGUCUUCACAGCAAUUGUUGCUCUUGCUUGCUUUAGGAAGUUACAAAAACACUUCAAACUCACAGACUAAUAAGAGAAUGCUAGAGCAAACACUCGUUGCCCUACUCCCCAGACUCAACAGAUGUUAACAUUCUGCCCUAUUUGCUUCAGCUCUUUGAUCACAUUUUCAGAUGUGACCAACACCGCCUUUGUCUCUCCCCCUGAUCACACCCCUGCUGUGUCUCCCCAAGGUGAUUCUGAAGAUAACUGUAGAUUUCAAGGAAACUUUGCUUCAUUCUCUUUGUCUCCAUAAUGUGCCUGGUAGAAUCAAAGUAUCGGCCCGGUGUUGUACAGAUAUGGGCCACGUGUAUGAGCGCUCACACACGUGCACACGGAGCAGAGGGUGAAGAACGUUCACGAAAAGGUUAACAGUUGGUGUUUGACCGAAUUUGGGAUGUUUCUUCUUUGCACUUUUAUGAAUUGUCACAUGUUCUUAUUGAUUGUAUGCUUAAGUGAUGAUAAAGUAAUAAGAAAUAAAUAAUGAUAAAAAUGUUAUGAAAUAAUAACACCUUUUAUCAUUUUCAAGUAUCACAUUGUAAGGAAAAGUAUGCCAAGGCUCUUUCUAACUCCUCUGAGACUACCGGAAGCCUACCUGUAGCUACUCUUCAUGGCAGCUUCCUCUGCCAGAGGGUGUAAAUCAGUAAGAAAACAAUCAGGCAUUGAUGCUUAAAGGGGUAUCAGAUUAGCUCCCAGGAGAUGAACAUCAUCAUCACCAUUUUUUUUUUUUUAAGUAGGCUUCAUGCCCAGUGUGGAAGCCCAACGUGGGGCUUGAACUCACGACCCCUCGAUCAAGACCUGAGCUGAGAUCAACAGUCUUAACCAGCUGAGCCACCCAGGUGCCCCAGAUGAACAUCAUUACCGAGAUUGUAUAUAUCAGCAAAUGGGAUGAGUCACUAAACCUGCAUCUGGUGAUAAAUAUCCAGACAUUUUUAAGAAUAGGGCUGGGG